AAAUUGAAGAGUUUGAUCAUGGCUCAGAUUGAACGCUGGCGGCAGGCCUAACACAUGCAAGUCGAGCGGUAGCACAGAGAGCUUGCUCUCGGGUGACGAGCGGCGGACGGGUGAGUAAUGUCUGGGAAACUGCCUGAUGGAGGGGGAUAACUACUGGAAACGGUAGCUAAUACCGCAUAAUGUCGCAAGACCAAAGUGGGGGACCUUCGGGCCUCAUGCCAUCAGAUGUGCCCAGAUGGGAUUAGCUAGUAGGUGGGGUAACGGCUCACCUAGGCGACGAUCCCUAGCUGGUCUGAGAGGAUGACCAGCCACACUGGAACUGAGACACGGUCCAGACUCCUACGGGAGGCAGCAGUGGGGAAUAUUGCACAAUGGGCGCAAGCCUGAUGCAGCCAUGCCGCGUGUGUGAAGAAGGCCUUCGGGUUGUAAAGCACUUUCAGCGGGGAGGAAGGCGUUAAGGUUAAUAACCUUGGCGAUUGACGUUACCCGCAGAAGAAGCACCGGCUAACUCCGUGCCAGCAGCCGCGGUAAUACGGAGGGUGCAAGCGUUAAUCGGAAUUACUGGGCGUAAAGCGCACGCAGGCGGUCUGUCAAGUCGGAUGUGAAAUCCCCGGGCUCAACCUGGGAACUGCAUUCGAAACUGGCAGGCUAGAGUCUUGUAGAGGGGGGGUAGAAUUCCGGGUGUAGCGGUGAAAUGCGUAGAGAUCUGGAGGAAUACCGGUGGCGAAGGCGGCCCCCUGGACAAAGACUGACGCUCAGGUGCGAAAGCGUGGGGAGCAAACAGGAUUAGAUACCCUGGUAGUCCACGCCGUAAACGAUGUCGAUUUGGAGGUUGUGCCCUUGAGGCGUGGCUUCCGGAGCUAACGCGUUAAAUCGACCGCCUGGGGAGUACGGCCGCAAGGUUAAAACUCAAAUGAAUUGACGGGGGGCCCGCACAAGCGGUGGAGCAUGUGGUUUAAUUCGAUGCAACGCGAAGAACCUUACCUGGUCUUGACAUCCACAGAACUUUCCAGAGAUGGAUUGGUGCCUUCGGGAACUGUGAGACAGGUGCUGCAUGGCUGUCGUCAGCUCGUGUUGUGAAAUGUUGGGUUAAGUCCCGCAACGAGCGCAACCCUUAUCCUUUGUUGCCAGCGGUCCGGCCGGGAACUCAAAGGAGACUGCCAGUGAUAAACUGGAGGAAGGUGGGGAUGACGUCAAGUCAUCAUGGCCCUUACGACCAGGGCUACACACGUGCUACAAUGGCAUAUACAAAGAGAAGCGACCUCGCGAGAGCAAGCGGACCUCAUAAAGUAUGUCGUAGUCCGGAUUGGAGUCUGCAACUCGACUCCAUGAAGUCGGAAUCGCUAGUAAUCGUAGAUCAGAAUGCUACGGUGAAUACGUUCCCGGGCCUUGUACACACCGCCCGUCACACCAUGGGAGUGGGUUGCAAAAGAAGUAGGUAGCUUAACCUUCGGGAGGGCGCUUACCACUUUGUGAUUCAUGACUGGGGUGAAGUCGUAACAAGGUAACCGUAGGGGAACCUGCGGUUGGAUCACCUCCUUA
Molecule: ribosomal RNA, 1542 nt
Filed under: Klebsiella pneumoniae
Lineage: Bacteria; Pseudomonadati; Pseudomonadota; Gammaproteobacteria; Enterobacterales; Enterobacteriaceae
Description: bacterial SSU rRNA
Rfam family: Bacterial small subunit ribosomal RNA
Source: RNAcentral